GAGGAAUUAUGGUAAUCUGUUCAUUGCUUACCCAAUGAAUUCUGAGUUCCAGUAUUUCCAGCAAGAAGAGAAUCAUGUGUCUUCUGUGGGCUCUGCUGUUUCUUCUGGUUUCUGCACAGUGUCAAACCCGGUUUGAAAAGUUCUCACUGGAGCUGAAGCCACCAAAUGAGAGAGAAUUAUUUGUCAAUGAUAAAGUUGUCUUGGAAGCUGUUGUUACUGGAGAUAAAUGGCAGUCAGCGGAAAAAGCUUCAGUGGCAUGCAAAGUAAAGAAUGAAUCUGUCUCAGGAAAUAUACACUUUUCUCAGGACACUUCACAGUUUAUAGCAGUCCAAAAAGUCACUGUUGAUGCAAAUAAAUGGUUUGAUGGUGAACCGGUCACCUGCACCGUUCAUGACCCAAAUAACAACAGAGAGAUGAUGCAGGAGAUCAGUUUCGAUAAAGGAGAUGGACUGACACCCAGGGUUUUCAUUUACAAACCUAAUUCUCCUGGCACAGACAGAUUCUCUCUGGUGUGUGAGGUCACCAGCCGUAAACUUGGCAAUGUCUAUAUCAUGUGGAAAGUGGGCAAUGGGCCUUAUAGAAAGGGCUCAACCAGCGCUCCCAUCCAUCAACAGGACUCCACAUCUUUGCUCAGCAUACUAACAUUGUCAAAACAAGAGUAUGAAGAUCACAAAACCACCAUCACCUGUUCAGUCAUACAUGCCAACAUGCAUAAUAGAAGUGCUCUAUUACAAGUUUCAACAUCCAAAAGUAAAGAGCCAGAGGUUUCCUGUGAUUAAAGAACUGACCCAAACGAUCACUGUGUUUGUGUUGUUGACUUCUAUGUUCUCGUCAGUUCAUAUAUAUUCGGUGUUUGUGCACUUUUCUGUCUGUAUCUGUUUCACUGGACUGCAUCGUUCAGACAUCAGUACCAAAUUAAAGUCGCAAUAUUUUAUUACAUGCAAAUAAAUAUGUCCACACAAAACAUAUAAUCAGCAUAAAUAUCAUAAUGUGAAAAUUCAAAUGUUUUCAAGAGCAUGCCCUGUGCUUUCUGUUCUGCUGUUUACCCAGUCAUGCAAUGUAAUAUAUUCUAACAUUUAAAAUUUUUGUUUACUAAAAAAUAUGAUUUCAAAUCCAAUACAGUUGAUUUUGUUGUUUUACAAUAUUAAGCAAUAAAUAUUUGUCUUUGCAUGAUUCA
Carassius gibelio (silver crucian carp) is the source of this 1177-nucleotide non-coding RNA. NCBI's taxonomy places the organism in Eukaryota, Metazoa, Chordata, Actinopteri, Cypriniformes, Cyprinidae. The record is from the annotation of a RefSeq genome assembly.